This is a non-coding RNA of Candidatus Gottesmanbacteria bacterium, 75 nucleotides long. NCBI's taxonomy places the organism in Bacteria, Candidatus Gottesmaniibacteriota. The record is from Rfam.
GGAUCCGUGGUGUAGCCUGGUUAACACGCGUCCCUGUCAAGGACGAGAUCACCGGUUCAAAUCCGGCCGGAUCCG